GAUGAACGCUGGCGGCGUGCCUAAUACAUGCAAGUCGAGCGAACAGAUAAGGAGCUUACUCCUUUGACGUUAGCGGCGGACGGGUGAGUAACACGUGGAUAACCUACCUAUAAGACUGUGAUAACUUCGGGAAACCGGAGCUAAUACCGGAUAACAUAUUGAACCGCGUGGUUCAAUAGUGAAAGGCGGCUUUGCUGUCACUUAUAGAUGGAUCCGCGCCGUAUUAGCUAGUUGGUAAGGUAAGGGCUUACCAAGGCAACGAUACGUAGCCGAGCUGAGAGGGUGAUCGGCCACACUGGAACUGAGACACGGUCCAGACUCCUACGGGAGGCAGCAGUAGGGAAUCUUCCGCAAUGGGCGAAAGCCUGACGGAGCAACGCCGCGUGAGUGAUGAAGGUCUUCGGAUCGUAAAACUCUGUUAUCAGGGAAGAACAAAUGUGUAAGUAACUGUGCACAUCUUGACGGUACCUGAUCAGAAAGCCACGGCUAACUACGUGCCAGCCGCCGCCGUAA
RNAcentral lists this ribosomal RNA (513 nucleotides) under uncultured bacterium. Its description in RNAcentral is "partial 16S ribosomal RNA". It matches the Rfam family "Bacterial small subunit ribosomal RNA", at positions 28 to 523 of the family's 1533-position model. The record is from RNAcentral.